AUUGAACGCUGGCGGCAUGCCUUACACAUGCAAGUCGAACGGUAACAGGUUAAGCUGACGAGUGGCGAACGGGUGAGUAAUGUAUCGGAACGUGCCCAGUCGUGGGGGAUAACUGCUCGAAAGAGCAGCUAAUACCGCAUACGACCUGAGGGUGAAAGCGGGGGAUCGCAAGACCUCGCGCGAUUGGAGCGGCCGAUAUCAGAUUAGGUAGUUGGUGAGGUAAAGGCUCACCAAGCCGUCGAUCUGUAGCUGGUCUGAGAGGACGACCAGCCACACUGGGACUGAGACACGGCCCAGACUCCUACGGGAGGCAGCAGUGGGGAAUUUUGGACAAUGGGCGCAAGCCUGAUCCAGCCAUGCCGCGUGCGGGAAGAAGGCCUUCGGGUUGUAAACCGCUUUUGUCAGGGAAGAAAAGGUUCUGGCUAAUACCUGGGACUCAUGACGGUACCUGAAGAAUAAGCACCGGCUAACUACGUG
This 477-nucleotide ribosomal RNA is filed under the name uncultured bacterium. Its description in RNAcentral is "partial 16S ribosomal RNA". It matches the Rfam family "Bacterial small subunit ribosomal RNA", at positions 30 to 507 of the family's 1533-position model. The record is from RNAcentral.